Molecule: ribosomal RNA, 253 nt
Filed under: uncultured bacterium
Lineage: Bacteria
Description: partial 16S ribosomal RNA
Rfam family: Bacterial small subunit ribosomal RNA
Source: RNAcentral
UACGUAGGGGGCGAGCGUUGUCCGGAUUUAUUGGGCGUAAAGAGCGUGUAGGCGGUUCGGUAAGUCUGUCGUGAAAUCCUGAGGCUCAACCUCGGGCGUGCGAUGGAUACUGCCGGGCUAGAGGGUAGUAGAGGCGAGUGGAAUUCCCGGUGUAGCGGUGAAAUGCGCAGAUAUCAGGAAGAACACCUAUGGCGAAGGCAGCUCUCUGGGACGGUACUGACGCUGAGACGCGAAAGCGUGGGGAGCGAACAGG